GAUGAACGCUAGCGGCAGGCCUAAUACAUGCAAGUCGAACGGUAAGGCCCUUUCGGGGGUACACGAGUGGCGGACGGGUGCGUAACGCGUAUGCAACCUACCUUUCAGCGGGGGAUAGCCUAGAGAAAUUUAGAUUAAUACCCCAUGGUAUCUUGAAACUGCAUGGUUUUAAGAUUAAAGAUUUAUCACUGAAAGAUGGGCAUGCGUGACAUUAGCUAGUUGGUGAGGUAAUGGCUCACCAAGGCGACGAUGUCUAGCUGGUCUGAGAGGAUGAUCAGCCACACUGGGACUGAGACACGGCCCAG
Molecule: ribosomal RNA, 305 nt
Filed under: uncultured bacterium
Lineage: Bacteria
Description: bacterial SSU rRNA
Rfam family: Bacterial small subunit ribosomal RNA
Source: RNAcentral